AGCGAACGUUAGCGGCGCGCCUAACACAUGCAAGUCGCACGAGAGGGGGCAACCCUGAAAGUGGCGCACGGGUGCGUAACACGUAGAUAACCUGCCCUUCGAAGGGGGAUAACGUUCCGAAAGGAGCGCUAAUACCGCAUACAGCUGUUUCUGGUUCGCUAGAGACGGGCAAAGGCUGGGACGAGCAAUCGCCAGUCGUCGAAGGAGGGGUCUGCGGCCCAUCAGCUAGUUGGUGAGGUAAUGGCUCACCAAGGCAGAGACGGGUAGCUGGUCUGAGAGGAUGAUCAGCCACACUGGUACUGGAACACGGACCAGACUCCUACGGGAGGCAGCAGUGGGGAAUCUUGGUCAAUGGGCGCAAGCCUGAACCAGCGACGCCGCGUGA
RNAcentral lists this ribosomal RNA (385 nucleotides) under uncultured bacterium. RNAcentral's name for it is "bacterial SSU rRNA". It matches the Rfam family "Bacterial small subunit ribosomal RNA", at positions 29 to 404 of the family's 1533-position model. The record is from RNAcentral.